AUAUUUUUAAAAAAAAUUAUGAAAUUGAAAAAUAAAAUAAAUAUAUAGCAUAUAUAUAACUAACAAAUAAUUUCACUCUUACCGAAAAAUAUAUUAAUUGUAUAUAUAUGUGAAUAUGUGUACAUAAGAGAAUAUAUUAUGAAUAUUAUAAAUUUACAAAUACAUAUUCCUAUAUAUUAAACCGGUUUACAACUUUUUUUUUAUUUCUUUUUUUGUUGGCACCUCACACCUACCUGUUUAAAACUUAACCUAAUUUAAAAAAAAAAAGAAAAAAGAAAAAAAAACUAAUAAAAAAAAAAAAGACGCCGGCCGAUGUCCUUCCCAUGUCUCUAUCCUUGCUUCUUCUUCAUCACCGGCAAGAGUCACGAACGACGGCGAAAACUACAGAUUUCAGGGACUUGGUCAGAGGCGGUGAGUGAGGAAAGGCGGGAGAAUUCGGUGAAGAAGAGCGAGCUUCAGAUUUGGGAGGCGUUCACGAAUUUGGCAGUACAUCAAAGGAGGAGAUCUGGAUUCGUACAUGAGGAAGGGAGGCGUGGAAAAGAAGAUGAACGGUUAAAGGCUCGUGAAGGAUGAGAGAUAAGAAGAAAUUGUAGACUAGAUUAUGAGAUGCUAAGGAAAUAAAGAAGAAGAAUUGCAGAUGAGGAAGAGUUAAGCAAGAAGAAGUGUUAAGGAGGAGACUACGGGACGUGAAAGGAGGAGAGCAGAAGAUUAAAAAAAAGCAUCUGGACCAUUGAUUCAAAAUUAAUCAAUGGACACAGAUUACAAUCCUUGCAUUUAGAUAUUCCACCAAUGAGGAGGAGAGGCGGAUAUUGAAACGAAACAACAUCUGAACCAUUGAUUCAAGUUUAAUCAAUGGUCAUAGAUUGCAUCUAUGCAUUGACCAAUGAGAGUUUUACUUUUAAAAAAUUUAAAACAUUUUAGUUAAUGGUAGAUAAUUUAGUGGAUGUGUUUGAUUAUAUUUUGGCUUUAUAAACUAGUUUAUUAAUAUGUUUAACAUUUUCCAAACUUUUAGUUUACGUAUUUGAGUUAUAUAAGUUAUAAGGGUUUGCUGUUAAUUAGUUGUAAUAACAAAUCAAGUGUUAUUGAUUCGGUUCAAAACGAGUCUCUCGCAAAUCUCUUGCAAAUUUGCAAUGGAAAUUGCGCAAAUCAAGGCUUGAGACUUAAGUUCAUAACAAUAGUUAAUCAAAUUUCGGAAAAUAUUUUUCGAUGUACAUUUUAAACAUUAUAAAUGAUUUAAUGUCUAGAUUAGUGAUUUGGGGUAUAGAGUUUAUACAUAGAUUUUAGGGUUUGAGAUAUAGUGUUUGAGUUAAGAUUAGUGAUUUUUUUUUUGUGUUGUUUAGUAUUUUUAUUUAUGUUUGAAAUGUAUAAUGUAAAAUUUUAAAUUUGGUAUAUAGUUUGAGAUAUUUUAUAUAUAUAUAUUAUAAAAAUUAGAUUUUAUUUAAAUUUUGAGUAAUUGGGGAAAAAAUGAAUUUACAAGGGAAUUGCAAGGGUUCAUCGCAAAUUUGAGAUUUGCAAUGGAAUUGCGAGGGAUCCCUCGCAAAUUCCUUGCAAAUUCAUAAGUCAAUGAGUUUAGGGUUUCGUUUGGGGUAUUGGUAUAUUUUUGCUGGACUAAUAUGUAUUUUGUAUUUGUUGUUCGAAAAAACAAUUGACGUGAAAUUUUGUUUCAAUUUUUUUUUGGAAACUUCUUUGACGUGUAUUUAUUGUAUAAAUUAUAGAGUUUUGAUGUUUAGUACUUUGUAAUAUUAGAGUUUUGAUGUUUAGUACUUUGUAAUAUUAGUUUUUAUUUAUUUUUGAAAUGUAUAAUGUAAAAUUUUAAAUUUGGUAUAUAGUUUGAGAUAUUAUAUAUAUAUAUAUAUAUAUAUUAUAAAAAUUAGAUUUUAUUUAAAUUUUGAGUAAUUGGGGAAAAAAUGAAUUUGCAAGGGAAUUGCAAGGGUUCAUCGCAAAUUUGAGAUUUGCAAUGGAAUUGCGAGUGAUCCCUUGCAAAUUCCUUGCAAAUUCAUAAGUCAAUGAGUUUAGGGUUUCGUUUGGGGUAUUGGUAUAUUUUUGCUGGACUAAUAUGUAUUUUGUAUUUGUUGUUCGAAAAAACAAUUGACGUGAAAUUUUGUUUCAAUUUUUUUUUGGAAACUUCUUUGACGUGUAUUUAUUGUAUAAAUUAUAGAGUUUUGAUGUUUAGUACUUUGUAAUAUUAGAGUUUUGAUGUUUAGUACUUUGUAAUAUUAGUUUUUAUUUAUUUUUGAAAUGUAUAAUGUAAAAUUUUAAAUUUGGUAUAUAGUUUGAGAUAUUAUAUAUAUAUAUAUAUAUAUAUUAUAAAAAUUAGAUUUUAUUUAAAUUUUGAGUAAUUGGGGAAAAAAUGAAUUUGCAAGGGAAUUGCGAGGAUUCCCUUGCAAAUUCAUCGCAAAUUUGAGAUUUGCAAUGGAAUUGCGAGGGAUCCCUCGCAAAUUCCUUGCAAAUUCCUUGCAAAUUCAUAAGUCAAUGAGUUUAGGGUUUCGUUUGGGGUAUUGGUAUAUUUUUGCUGGACUAAUAUGUAUUUUGUAUUUGUUGUUCGAAAAAACAAUUGACGUGAAAUUUUGUUUCAAUUUUUUUUUGAAAACUUCUUUGACGUGUAUUUAUUGUAUAAAUUAUAGAGUUUUGAUGUUUAGUACUUUGUAAUAUUAGUUUUAAGUGUCAGAAAAUAUUUAUCCCGUAAAUAUUUAGUUGACUGAUAUUGAUUAAAUUUCCAAAAAUAUUCAUCGAUGUACUUGUUAAACACUAAAUAUUUUAAUUAAUAAUUUUUAUUAACUUUAUUUGAUUUUGGGAGAAAAAUGAUAAAAUGUACAUACCAUGCAAGUUCUUUGCAAAUCUAUUGCAAAUUUGCAAGGGAGCUGUGAGGAAACAAGAUAGACAUACAAAAUUCUUACAAAUCCCUUGCAAAUUUGCUAGAGAAAUGUUUCAUUGCAAAUUUGCGAGGGAUUUGCGAGGACGCUGUAACUUCCAUCGCAAAACNNNNNNNNNNNNNNNNNNNNNNNNNNNNNNNNNNNNNNNNNNNNNNNNNNNNNNNNNNNNNNNNNNNNNNNNNNNNNNNNNNNNNNNNNNNNNNNNNNNNNNNNNNNNNNNNUUUUUAUUUAUUUUUGAAAUGUAUAAUGUAAAAUUUUAAAUUUGGUAUAUAGUUUGAGAUAUUAUAUAUAUAUAUAUAUAUAUAUUAUAAAAAUUAGAUUUUAUUUAAAUUUUGAGCAAUUGGGGAAAAAUUGAAUUUGCAAGGGAAUUGCAAGGGUUCAUCGCAAAUUUGAGAUUUGCAAUGGAAUUGCGAGGGAUCCCUCGCAAAUUCCUUGCAAAUUCAUAAGUCAAUGAGUUUAGGGUUUCGUUUGGGGUAUUGGUAUAUUUUUGCUGGACUAAUAUGUAUUUUGUAUUUGUUGUUCGAAAAAACAAUUGACGUGAAAUUUUGUUUCAAUUUUUUUUUGGAAACUUCUUUGACGUGUAUUUAUUGUAUAAAUUAUAGAGUUUUGAUGUUUAGUACUUUGUAAUAUUAGUUUUAAGUGUCAGAAAAUAUUUAUCCCGUAAAUAUUUAGUUGACUGAUAUUGAUUAAAUUUCCAAAAAUAUUCAUCGAUGUACUUGUUAAACACUAAAUAUUUUAAUUAAUAUUUUUUUAUUAACUUUAUUUGAUUUUGGGAGAAAAAUGAUAAAAUGUACAUACCAUGCAAGUUCUUUGCAAAUCUAUUGCAAAUUUGCAAGGGAGCUGUGAGGAAACAAGAUAGACAUACAAAAUUCUUACAAAUCCCUUGCAAAUUUGCGAGAGAAAUAUUUCAUUGCAAAUUUGCGGGGGAUUUGCGAGGACGCUGUAACUUCCAUCGCAAAUCUCUCGCAAAUUUGCGAGAAAAAAUUUUCCUCGCAAAUUCCUCGCAAAUUUGCGAGAGAUUUGCAAGGAAAAUAAUUUUUCUUGCAAUUCCGUUGCAAAUCUGUCGCAAAUUUGCAAGGAAAAUUUUCGCUCGCAAAUUUCCCUUGCAAUCGGCGUGUUUUCUUGUAGUGUGAGAGCAUUUUGGCAUGUAGCUCCUGCUCAUAAGUCACGGGUUUUCCCUUCUUGUAGUAUAAGUAGUCGGAUAUGUAUCUCUUUCUCCUCAACAUCAAAAACCUUAUCACCAAAACCGUUGUAAUAUUUUGGAACGAAAACCAUUGUAAUAUUUUUCUGCUACUUGCUUCUCUCAAUCCUUUGUAUCCAUCUCAUCAACAUGCUUCGUCUGAUGAAAAUGAUGAAAUCGAGGAGAGAUUGGAUGAUAUUAUCGAAGAUUUCAUUGACAAAAUUUACGACGAUAUAGUUGAGGCCGAACCCAUACCGCAAAGGACCCGUAGUUAUACUGAACGACACCGCGAAGGAGGACAGCACCAGCUAAGCAAUGACUACUUCAACGACGACCAUUCGAUAUAUUCGAUACAAACUUUCAGACGCCGAUUCCGCAUGAAUAAGGGAUUAUUCAUACGUAUUGUCGAUGGCCUUGAACAAUUCUUUCCAUUCUUCCAGCAAAGAAAAGAUGCAACGGGUAGGUGGGGUCUUACUGCACUACAAAAAUGUACGGCAGCAAUUCGUCUACUUGCUUAUGGAAAUUCGGCUGACACGGUUGACGAAUAUCUCCGACUUGGUGAGAGCACUGCACUUUCUUGUUUACAUCAUUUCACUGAUGGGAUAAUACAGUUAUUCGGAGAUGAGUAUCUGCGACGACCCACAGCAGAGGAUCUUCAACGACUACUCGAUAUGGGAGAGAAACGAGGGUUUCCUGGGAUGGUCGGGAGCAUUGACUGUAUGCACUGGGAGUGGAAAAAUUGUCCAACCGCUUGGAAAGGACAGUACGCCCGUGGCCACGGAAAACCGACUAUUGUCCUAGAGGCCGUAGCUUCACAAGAUCUUUGGAUUUGGCACGCAUUUUUUGGUCUUCCAGGUACCUUAAAUGAUCUUAAUGUCCUCGAUCGAUCUCCUCUGUUUGAUGACCUUUUAGAAGGUCGAGCUCCCAGGGUGAGGUACAUGGUCAACAACCACAUGUAUAAGUUGGCAUAUUACCUCACAGAUGGUAUAUAUCCAAAAUGGUCAACAUUUAUCCAAAGUAUCACACUCCCUCAAAGUCCUAAACAACAGUUAUUUGCUCAAGUUCAAGAAUCAAUCCGAAAAGAUGUCGAGCGGGCUUUUGGAGUAUUGCAAGCUCGGUUUGCGAUUGUGAAAAACCCGGUUCGUACAAUGGCCAAAGAGAAGAUAAGGAAGAUAAUGAGAGCAUGUAUCAUACUACACAAUAUGAUAGUUGAAGAUGAACGAGAUGGUUAUUCAAUGCGGUACGAUAUUUCAGAAUUUGAAGAAGGAGCAUCUUCCAGAACUUCGGAGGUCCUAAACGCAAACCCUACACUAAACGAAAUCCCGACAAUUCUCAAUAAUAUAUUUCCCAACCGAAAUGAUCUUCGUGAUAGGCAAACUCAUGAACGAUUGAAGAAUGAUUUGAUCGAAAACAUUUGGAAUAAAUUUGGCGAUGAAGAUUAAUAAUUAGUAUCUUUAUAUUUAAACCUUGUAUCUUUUAAUCCUUGUAUCUUUAAAUUGAAUCCUUGUACCUUUUAUUUUAAUUAUGCAAUUAAUAAAUUUUCAAUUUUAAUUUUUUUAUAAAAAAAUAAUAAUAUUUUAUUGCUAAGGACUCCGUCUUCGGGAAUUAUUGUUUAAAAAAUGUGUGGUUGAUGUGAAUAUAAAGGAAAGUGCGGGUCUGCUACAGGAUGUGCAGACAAUAUAGAACUCGGCAUACUAUAUGCUUAAAGAGCCAUCAAGUACCAUCAAACAUUUGUUAAAUUAGAGACAUUUGAUAGGAGAGGUUAUAAAAUGGUGUCCACAGUUGAGGACUGGACAAGAGCUGAGAAGAUAUGUCAUUUUUCGGGGCCGUUUGCUGAGAUAUGUGAAACUCAUUUGGAGGAGUGUCGAUCGGCACUAAGGUGGUGUCGGUUGACACCAUGACGUAAGCUCAACUGCUUCAUCUUUGUGUAAUAUGAAGAGAGUUCCAUAUAUCCUUGAUGGAGAGUUAAAAUCUCUUGUUCUAACUGAUAAACUUUCGGCAGAUUGCUAACUUUAAACCUCUUGAAUAAAUCUAACCAAGUCUUUGCAGCAUCAUUGUAGUAUAUAAUACUAUCAUAUAUCUCUUGAUUAACUAAAUUAAAAAGCCAAGAUUUGACCAUGAUAUUGUAGUGAUUCCCAGGGGCGAAGCCAGGUUACCCACUAUGGGAGCCUGUGCACCCGUAAUAUUAAUUGAUAAUGUAAUUUUCGUGUAAAGAAACCAAGGUACGAUACUAUCUUUUGACCUGUUUCUAUUUUAUUAUAAAGAGUGCACCCAAUAAUUACAAAUCCUGGAUUCGUCCCUGGCGAUUCCAUAUCUUAAACAUCAAUCAGAUUCCUCUGCUCUAGGUAAAUAUCUGUCAUGAAAACUUCAUUUUUUCUUAGAUUCUAGAUACAUUGCCAUUGCAACCCUCCAGGUAUUGUAAUUUGUACCAUCUAGGGUAUGGGAAACAAACGAUAGACCAGGAUGAUCCACAACAUAUAAGAAGAACAGACUAUGAGAGCAUCAAGCGACAUUGUAGUAGAUGAUACCUUUCCGGUAGCACGUACCGUGAAUAAAUUCUGUACCAGAAGUUCUUCGGUCGGCCUUUGGAGCUCGAGAGUCUGCACGAUGUCACUACAAGAAAACACAUAUGUUGCAAGGGAAGAAAUCUUUGCAAUUCCCUUGCAAAUCGCAAUUUGCAAGGAAAUUGCGAGGAAAACAUAUUCCUCGCAAAUCCAUUGUCGCAAAUUUGCGACGGAAGAUGUUUCCUCGCACAUUUGCGACGGAAGAUGUUUCCUCGCAAAUUUGCGACGGAAGAUGUUUCCUCGCAAAUUUGCUACGGAAAUGUUUCCUCGCAAAUUUGCGAUGGAAAAUGAUUUCUCGCAAAUUUGCGAUAGAUUUAAGAAACGCAGUUUCCUCGCAAUUUCUUGAAAAAUAUUUUUAAAAAAAAUUAUGAAAUUGAAAAAUAAAAUAAAUAUAUAGCAUAUAUAUAACUAACAAAUAAUUUCACUCUUACCGAAAAAUAUAUUAAUUGUAUAUAUAUGUGAAUAUGUGUACAUAAGAGAAUAUAUUAUGAAUAUUAUAAAUUUACAAAUACAUAUUCCUAUAUAUUAAACCGGUUUACAACUUUUUUUUUAUUUCUUUUUUUGUUGGCACCUCACACCUACCUGUUUAAAACUUAACCUAAUUUAAAAAAAAAAAGAAAAAAGAAAAAAAAACUAAUAAAAAAAAAAAAGACGCCGGCCGAUGUCCUUCCCAUGUCUCUAUCCUUGCUUCUUCUUCAUCACCGGCAAGAGUCACGAACGACGGCGAAAACUACAGAUUUCAGGGACUUGGUCAGAGGCGGUGAGUGAGGAAAGGCGGGAGAAUUCGGUGAAGAAGAGCGAGCUUCAGAUUUGGGAGGCGUUCACGAAUUUGGCAGUACAUCAAAGGAGGAGAUCUGGAUUCGUACAUGAGGAAGGGAGGCGUGGAAAAGAAGAUGAACGGUUAAAGGCUCGUGAAGGAUGAGAGAUAAGAAGAAAUUGUAGACUAGAUUAUGAGAUGCUAAGGAAAUAAAGAAGAAGAAUUGCAGAUGAGGAAGAGUUAAGCAAGAAGAAGUGUUAAGGAGGAGACUACGGGACGUGAAAGGAGGAGAGCAGAAGAUUAAAAAAAAGCAUCUGGACCAUUGAUUCAAAAUUAAUCAAUGGACACAGAUUACAAUCCUUGCAUUUAGAUAUUCCACCAAUGAGGAGGAGAGGCGGAUAUUGAAACGAAACAACAUCUGAACCAUUGAUUCAAGUUUAAUCAAUGGUCAUAGAUUGCAUCUAUGCAUUGACCAAUGAGAGUUUUACUUUUAAAAAAUUUAAAACAUUUUAGUUAAUGGUAGAUAAUUUAGUGGAUGUGUUUGAUUAUAUUUUGGCUUUAUAAACUAGUUUAUUAAUAUGUUUAACAUUUUCCAAACUUUUAGUUUACGUAUUUGAGUUAUAUAAGUUAUAAGGGUUUGCUG
This 8017-nucleotide long non-coding RNA is filed under the name Brassica napus (rape). RNAcentral describes it as "long non-coding RNA (BNAP_LNC012840)". Lineage: Eukaryota; Viridiplantae; Streptophyta; Magnoliopsida; Brassicales; Brassicaceae. The record is from RNAcentral.